GAUGAACGCUGGCGGCGUGCUUGACACAUGCAAGCCGAGCGAAGCGAUUUUAAGGAAGCUUUCGGGUGGAAUUAAGAUUGACUGAGCGGCGGACGGGUGAGUAACGCGUGGGUAACCUGCCUCAUACAGGGGGAUAACAGUUAGAAAUGACUGCUAAUACCGCAUAAGCGCACAGUGCUGCAUAGCACAGUGUGAAAAACUCCGGUGGUAUGAGAUGGACCCGCGUCUGAUUAGGUAGUUGGUAGGGUAACGGCCUACCAAGCCGACGAUCAGUAGCCGACCUGAGAGGGUGACCGGCCACAUUGGGACUGAGACACGGCCCAAACUCCUACGGGAGGCAGCAGUGGGGAAUAUUGGACAAUGGGGGAAACCCUGAUCCAGCGACGCCGCGUGAGUGAAGAAGUAUUUCGGUAUGUAAAGCUCUAUCAGCAGGGAAGAAAAUGACGGUACCUGACUAAGAAGCCCCGGCUAACUACGUGCCAGCCGCCGCGGUAA
This 495-nucleotide ribosomal RNA is filed under the name uncultured bacterium. RNAcentral's name for it is "partial 16S ribosomal RNA". It matches the Rfam family "Bacterial small subunit ribosomal RNA", at positions 28 to 523 of the family's 1533-position model. The record is from RNAcentral.